CAACGACCAGUGUAAGGAUCCCGGUUUGAGCCCCCGGCUCCCCACCUGCAGGUGAGUCUGCAGGUGUCUAUCUUUCUCUCCUCCUCUGUCUUCCCCUCCUCUCUCCAUUUCUCUCUGUCCUAUCCAACAACGACAACAACAAUAAUAACUACAACAAUAAAACAACAAGGGCAACAAAAGGGAAUAAAUAAAUAAAAUAAAU
Erinaceus europaeus (western European hedgehog) is the source of this 202-nucleotide long non-coding RNA. RefSeq lists it as uncharacterized. The transcript has 2 exons. The record is from RefSeq and is a predicted model, not a curated record. NCBI's taxonomy places the organism in Eukaryota, Metazoa, Chordata, Mammalia, Eulipotyphla, Erinaceidae.